GGAUUGUGUGUGGCGCUCUUCACCGCAUGUGGACUAGAGUAGAUCUAGGAACAUCAGACAAGAAGACACGUAUGUGAAACCCUGCGGAUAGCCCAUAUGUGAACUUUUUUUCCAGAUACGGGGGAACGGACACCGGUCGUGCCGUGAGCACUAUUCUGCAGGGCAUACUUACAAAUGAAACUGCACUGCAGUUCAGCUGGAAAGGGUCGCAGGGGAGGAAGCACGCCUUCGUGAAGCUCAUGGCCAUCACGAAUAUAACAUCUGUGAGGAGCACGUUCCCUGACGCUUCACUAGCAUCAGUGGCUGGAGUCGCAAAACGCUGGUUGGUUGGAGCAGCUGACAGGGAUGGAGGCCGGAAUGAAAGAAGGCGCCGUGACCCUGCUUCAAGCCCACCAAAUAUGAACUAGUGUUUGAAACUUGUGAACGUGUCGGUGUAGAUAU
This 441-nucleotide unclassified non-coding RNA is filed under the name Dermacentor andersoni. RNAcentral's name for it is "uncharacterized LOC126536646". The record is from RNAcentral. Lineage: Eukaryota; Metazoa; Arthropoda; Arachnida; Ixodida; Ixodidae.